RNAcentral lists this ribosomal RNA (1557 nucleotides) under Triticum aestivum (bread wheat). RNAcentral's name for it is "partial small subunit ribosomal RNA". Lineage: Eukaryota; Viridiplantae; Streptophyta; Magnoliopsida; Poales; Poaceae. The record is from RNAcentral.
AUGAAAGAUAUGCAUAGCAUUGCUAGAUUUUCUUCUGAGAUAAUUCCUGAAUCUAGUACAACUGAUGAAUAUUUCGAACAAUCACAUGAGGAAGUCCUUGAGAAGGAUAACAAUGAAGUUCCUAUAAGGAACAAGAGACAAAGGAUUGCAAAAUCCUUUGGUGAUGAUUUCAUUGUAUACCUUGUGGACGACACACCCAAGACAAUUGCAGAAGCAUAUGCAUCUCUGGAUGUAGAUGAUUGGAAAGAAGUAGUUCAUAAUGAGAUGGACUCAAUUCUUUCUAAUGGAACUUGGGAACUAACUGAUAGACCAUAUGGUUGUAAACCUGUGGGCUGUAAGUGGGUGUUCAAAAAGAAGCUAAAGCCUAAUGGUACUAUUGAUAAGUACAAGGCGCGGCUAGUGGCCAAGGGCUACACUCAGAAAGAAGGCAAAGAUUACUUUGACACCUAUUCACCCGUUGCUAGAAUGACCACCAUUCGAGUGUUACUUUCCUUGGUUGCCUCUUAUGGUCUUAUCAUUCAUCAAAUGGAUGUAAAGACAGCUUUUCUCAAUGGAGAGUUGGAAGAGGAGAUCUAUAUGGAUCAGCCUGACGGGUUUGUGGUAAAGGGUGAAGAGAGAAAGGUGUGCAAGUUGUUAAAAUCUUUGUAUGGUCUGAAACAGGCACCUAAGCAAUGGCAUGAGAAGUUUGAAAGAACUCUGACUUCUGCAGGAUUUGUCAUUAACGAGGCUGAUAGGUGUGUUUACUAUCGCCAUGGUGGGGGCAAUAGUGUCAUAUUAUGUUUGUAUGUGGACGACAUACUGAUCUUUGGUACAAACAUUAAUGCAAUUAAUGAGGUCAAGUCUUUUCUAUCAAAAAGUUUUGACAUGAAAGAUCUGGGAGAAGCCGAUGUAAUUCUAAACAUCAAACUUAUUAAGGAUGAGAAUGGGAUUACAUUAACGCAAUCUCACUAUGUUGAGAAGGUCUUGAACCGAUUCGGUUUUAUGCAUAGCAAGCCUUCUCCAACACCUUAUGAUCCCAGCGUGACACUCAGAAAGAACAAGAAAGAAACGAGAGAUCAAUUAAGAUACUCUCAAAUUGUCGGUUCACUCAUGUACUUAGCUGGCGCUACAAGACCAGAUAUCUCUUUUGCUGUGAGCAAACUGAGUAGGUUCAUGUCCAACCCGGGUGAUGAUCAUUGGCAUGCACUAGAAAGGGUCUUGCGCUAUCUGAGAGGUACUAUGAGUUACGGAAUUACUUAUUCAGGGCAUCCUGCUGUGCUAGAAGGAUAUAGUGAUUCAAAUUGGAUCUCCGAUGUUGAUGUACUUUACGCAACAAGUGGGUAUGUAUUUACUCAUGGUGGUGGCGCAGUGUCAUCGAGGUCUUGCAAGCAAACCAUAUUGACGAGGUCAACUAUGGAAGCAGAAUUAACUGCUUUGGACACAGCUACUGUUGAGGCAGAAUGGCUGCGUGAGCUCUUGAUGGACUUGCUGGUUGUUGAAAAACCUGUACCGGCUAUUCUUAUGAAUUGUGGUAACCAAACGAGCAUUCUUGAAAGAACACACCUAUAUGAGUUCUGA